RNAcentral lists this ribosomal RNA (700 nucleotides) under uncultured bacterium. Its description in RNAcentral is "bacterial SSU rRNA". It matches the Rfam family "Bacterial small subunit ribosomal RNA", at positions 94 to 827 of the family's 1533-position model. The record is from RNAcentral.
AGCGGCGAAAGGGAUAGUAACACGUAGAUCACGUGCCCUCGGGUCAGGGAUAGCGUCGGGAAACUGACGGUAAUACCAGAUAAUGUCUCCGGACCAAAGAUUUAUUGCCCGAGGAGCGGUCUGCGUCCUAUUAGCUAGUUGGUGGGGUAAUAGCCUACCAAGGCGAAGAUGGGUAGCGGGUGUGGGAGCACGACCCGCAUCACUGGGACUGAGAUACUGCCCAGACACCUACGGGUGGCUGCAGUCGAGAAUCUUCCGCAAUGGACGAAAGUCUGACGGAGCGACGCCGCGUGCGGGAUGAAGGCCCUCGGGUUGUAAACCGCUGUCGUAGGGGAGCAAAUUUUGAGCGAUCCUAGGAGGAAGCACCGGCUAAACUCGUGCCAGCAGCCGCGGUAAUACGAGUGGUGCAAACGUUAUUCGGAAUCACUGGGCUUAAAGGGUGCGUAGGCGGCCAUGAAGGUCUGAUGUGAAAUACCACGGCUCAACCGUGGAAUGGCAUUGGAAACCACAUGGCUGGAGUGAGACAGAGGUGAGCGGAACAGAUGGUGGAGCGGUGAAAUGCGUUGAUAUCAUCUGGAACACCGGUGGCGAAAGCGGCUCACUGGGUCUUUACUGACGCUGAGGCACGAAAGCCAGGGGAGCAAACGGGAUUAGAUACCCCGGUAGUCCUGGCUGUAAACGAUGAGUACUAGUCCGAGGG